CCUACGGGUGGCAGCAGUGAGGAAUAUUGGUCAAUGGACGAGAGUCUGAACCAGCCAAGUAGCGUGAAGGAUGACUGCCCUAUGGGUUGUAAACUUCUUUUAUAAAGGAAUAAAACGAGGCACGUGUGCCUUUUUGCAUGUACUUUAUGAAUAAGGAUCGGCUAACUCCGUGCCAGCAGCCGCGGUAAUACGGAGGAUCCGAGCGUUAUCCGGAUUUAUUGGGUUUAAGGGGAGCGUAGAUGGGUUGUUAAGUCAGUUGUGAAAGUUUGCGGCUCAACCGUAAAAGUGCAAUUGAUACUGGCAGUUUUGAGUAGAGUUGAGGAGGGGGAAAUUCGUGGUGUAGCGGUAAAAUGUUUAGAUAUCACGAAGACCCCCGAGUGGGAGGGCAGUUUAUAAAACUGUGACUAACAUUGAUGCUCGAAAUUGUGGGUAUAAAACAGAAUUAGAUACCCCGGUAGUC
RNAcentral lists this ribosomal RNA (460 nucleotides) under uncultured bacterium. Its description in RNAcentral is "partial 16S ribosomal RNA". It matches the Rfam family "Bacterial small subunit ribosomal RNA", at positions 338 to 795 of the family's 1533-position model. The record is from RNAcentral.